Long non-coding RNA from Chroicocephalus ridibundus (black-headed gull), 1071 nucleotides. RefSeq lists it as uncharacterized. The record is from RefSeq and is a predicted model, not a curated record. The transcript has 3 exons. NCBI's taxonomy places the organism in Eukaryota, Metazoa, Chordata, Aves, Charadriiformes, Laridae.
UCUGGUACCUGAUGUCUCCAAACUGGUAAACAGGGAGUUACAUUAAUGUUUUAUUUUGCAACACAGUCCACAGCAGGCUGUGCCCACCUGGGUGGCCCCCUGGCUGUAGAAGCAUGCCCAGAUGUGCACAGCAGACAAUGUAAACCUGUUAACGAAGCAGCACGCCUGCAGCUGCGGAGGCUCCCACACCGGGCUGCCAGGAGGCACCGUCGGAGCACGAGCCCCACCGCUGGCCCUUUGGGAAGGAACGACUCCCAAGCAGACGAAUGCACCCGGGACUGGGAUAUAGCAGCAUAUCACGCCUUCCCAGUCUGUGGUGUCUGUCCUGUGUCCUGUGUCCUGUGUCCUGUGUCCGUACUUUUCAUAGAAUCACAGAAUCAUACGCGCAUUUCUACACCACCUGGCAAUGCUGCUUCAUUCUUCCAGGCUUCCGAUUGCAGUUACGGACUCCAGAGCUGAGCUGAAAAGAAGGAUGCUGUCAUCUAGAAUGUAAAAAUAUGCUGCUGAACUGGAAUAUUUGUGUUCUUCAAACCUCGUACUCAAGAUCCAGUAUCUGUUGCCUUUUGCUUUCUCAGUAAAUCUGCGUUUCUGUAAGAGUGUUUUAUAGAUUUUUCAGGAGACUCCAGUGCAGGCUCUGAAGCAUUUGGAUGCUGGAUAGUUGAAGCCUGUGUCCUUUACUCAUUCUUUGAGUUUAUGGACUCGGGGCUUGAGGUUUCGCAUCACAAUACAUGCUAAUUGCUUAGCGUUCCAUCAAAAGAAGUACAAGGCAUUUGGAAAAUAAGUCUAAAUAAAGAAUGCUCACUGUACUUCAAAAUCGGUAAGCUUUUCCUAUGGACUGGUACUUACCAGCUCACCUAUUUGCAAACAGUAGUUUGAUGCAUUUGCAAAUUGAACAACAUGUUUAAAGUAAUUUUAGUUCAGACCUGUUUUCCAGCACGUUUAAAAUUCAAGCCUCCUCGAGAGACAUCGGUAUUCAAGAAAAAACACGUGGAAUUUGAUUUAUCAGACCUUAUCAUGGCCAGACAAUGAUAUGGCAGCAGAAGUCAUAUUCAGAUGCAGAAGAUCGGUGAG